CAAAAAAAAAAAACAUUCAUAUUUAUCAAUGAUUGGAAAAAAUUGGAAAAAAAAUUGCAAUUAACGUUGCAUUCUAAAUGUUCUGCAGAAGUAUAUAUCGAUGACGAGUCAUGUUUUAAUGAGGUUUCAAAGGCUAGCAUUAAUCGAUAACAAAUUUAACUGCUCUCGACCCUCGAAGACAGCGGUUAUCUAAAUGAUAAAUAUUUUCAGUCGCUCGUUAAAAGAGGUUUUGCAAUACCAAUGAAACGACUGAAUCAUUUGAACAGCAAUGAAUAUCAUUGGCCACAAUAAACUUUAUGGUUUUAAUCCAAUUUGAGAACUAAAAACACAUUUAUGAAUAUUAAAAUAAUUUGAACAAUUUGAAAAGUUUCAUUUGAUAGAAGAAUAAGUAUAUUUUAAUAGAAAUAAUAUAAAUGCACCAAUAUAACAAUACAAAUAAUUAAAUAAUCUCAAUAAAUCACGAAAAGAAAAAAAAAUUCAAUGAAAGAAUCUGAUUAAAAGCGACGUUUGAAUGUCGAUAAAGCGGAUAAUGCGCAACUUUUUAAGCCUUUAAUUUUUUACUACUCGGUCGAUAAAGCAAAUCGCGACGUAGUGGACAACGAGGUCAGAGCGAGACUACACCCGUAACGAUCCCGUGUUUGAAUUCAAGGUUUUCGCGGAAACGAAGUAUGAAAGAUGCUAGUAAUCGUUUGGAAUCGUGAUCAUCCGUGUCGUCGUUGUCUUUCAUCGUCGUACCAAAAGCAAACGUAUGGCAACCUCGUCAACCUCGAUACGCCUUCGCCAAUGAUAAGAUAAAGCCUAGUCUACAGGUAUGCGCAGGUAUGCGCGAGUAGGCGCCAUCGUGUGACCGCCCACGGAGAAGGUAUAUUUCUGCAUCCGUACGUGGGCAAACGAUGCGAUUAUGACGCUUAACUUUUAUUAUAAAAUUUAAUAUUGAAAAUACAAUGACGGAAUUCAUAUAUGCAUGUAAUCUAUUACAAUAUAUCUAUGUGAUUAAAGUACAAACACAUAUACAUUCACAUAUACAAAAGAUAACGUAUACAAUGCAAACAUUAAUACACAGCAAUGGAACUAUAUGCACUGAUGCACGUGUGGCGCUCUCCCAGUUAGCAUCUCAGACAAGAUUUAAUCAAUCGUUUGAACAAAAUAAGUAUCAUAGACGACAGCCUGUCUCGCCAAGAACCCUUGAAAGAUACCUCUAUGUUCAAGUAACAGACAAGGAUAGCGGAAAGAACCGUCUAAUGCGUUUUUUGCAAAGAAUUAUGAUCGUAACACCCUUUUCUUUCACAUUCGCAUUCUCACGUGGCUUUUGCCGCAUAAGUAAGGUAGGUAAGGGCCAUAUGAGUAGUACAGUACAUAGAAUUCAAAGGUGAGGUGUCGCAAGUCAAGGCAGUGGUAAAUAGAAGCACACUUAUCUCGCUCACUCUUACUCUCAAUCCGUUAAUUCUAUCCUUUGUCGUAUGCACAUACACAUACACACAGAACAAGUACAAGUGCGUGAAAAGAGAGCAAGGAAAGCGAAGGCUACAGAUCUCAAGCAAACGAACAUGGAGGAGAAAGAGGGAAAGAGAAUGGUCGGCGUACAUCAUUUGGGCGCCGAGAAGUCUGGCGCGACCAGGCCAAGCCAGGCCAGGCCAGAGGCGCGUCUCUGGUUACGCGACCAUUUGGGGCGCCAAGCAUGGAGCGCCGAGGAGGUGAAAGGAGCGGGAGGAAGGACUGAUAGAAGGGAAAACCAUAGGAGAGCAAAGAAGAACAGAGAAGAGGACUCCAGAGGGACUAGUAGAGACGAAGGUAGGCGUUCGAGCAUCGUUGUGUCGAGCUUUGAACUGUAGAACGUAUAGGGCGGCAUUGUGGAAGGAGAAAGAGGGGAAAUCAACGAAGGGGCCCCAGCAGGCUACAUUCCAGCGGGACGCGAGUUUUCAAACAUGGCUACCCACGUGAAUGUAGGUCCACGACCGAUCGUAUAACACGCACACAUGUUCGACCUUACAAACUACAAGAUCUCCUCUUUCUUUCUCUUUCUUAUUCUUGUUUCUCUUCGUUUCGCAUGUAUAAUCUGUUCGGAACGAUUCCCUCUCAUAACGUGCUCCUUCCCCUAAUGCCUGCUCCGUCACACGCUUAUACUGACACUAACCCACAGAAUCCCCUUGCCCCUUUGCACCAUCGGGUUGUUCGUUUCCCCUCUCCCCUCACAGCAAUCCGGACGGCCCGUCCGACCGAGCUGGCGACACCCUGUCUGGCAAGACCGGCCGACGGACAAAGGAGGGGGAGCCUGGCCGCUGCGUUGCCACGUCCUCGGACUUCGAGCUGCACCUACCUUCGGCCUCAAGGACAAAUCCGAUGAACGUGUCAGCCGUCGUGGCGUACUUAGGCGACUGCCGGUCUGCUACUGCUAUGCCUGUUACCGAUAUUCAUGAUCGCUCGUUCUUUUUAAUGAACGGACAGAGUUUGAUUACGAUUAAAUAAAGAAUUUGAUUGCAAAAAGUU
This 2487-nucleotide unclassified non-coding RNA is filed under the name Apis dorsata (giant honeybee). Its description in RNAcentral is "uncharacterized LOC102673714, transcript variant X9". The record is from RNAcentral. Lineage: Eukaryota; Metazoa; Arthropoda; Insecta; Hymenoptera; Apidae.